UGCCCAGUCGAGGGGGAUAACUACUGGAAACGGUAGCUAAUACCGCAUACGCCCUACGGGGGAAAGCAGGGGACCUUCGGGCCUUGCGCGAUUGGAUGAACCCAGGUGGGAUUAGCUAGUUGGUGAGGUAAUGGCUCACCAAGGCGACGAUCCCUAGCUGGUCUGAGAGGAUGAUCAGCCACACUGGAACUGAGACACGGUCCAGACUCCUACGGGAGGCAGCAGUGGGGAAUAUUGCACAAUGGGGGAAACCCUGAUGCAGCCAUGCCGCGUGUGUGAAGA
RNAcentral lists this ribosomal RNA (282 nucleotides) under Aeromonas veronii. RNAcentral describes it as "partial 16S ribosomal RNA". It matches the Rfam family "Bacterial small subunit ribosomal RNA", at positions 127 to 411 of the family's 1533-position model. The record is from RNAcentral. Lineage: Bacteria; Pseudomonadati; Pseudomonadota; Gammaproteobacteria; Aeromonadales; Aeromonadaceae.